UGUGACGAAUCAGCUUCACUUCUCUCAUUCUACCCAGGCUUCUCUCCCUCUCUCAAUGGCGGCGAAGAUGAACCUCACUCCACCCUCCGAUCAAAAAUCAAAUGCCGUCGUGACCACCGUCCUACCACCCCUAUCGUCUCAACCACUCUUCUUCUAAUUCUAAGAAAUACCUCCCUGAAUCUAAACCGAACCAAAACCCUAAUAUCUUUCAGAAAUAAAAUUAAACGAAAAAGGUGGGGAAAUGGAUACAUAAGCUUGGGGGAAAUAAUCAGAGGAGAACAUUCUACCGUACAACAUCAAUCAAAGGCGUACAAGAAGAUGAAUGAUGGAAGGUGCGAGACUUACCUGCCGGAGAGGCUCCGACGGCCUUUGAACCUUGACGACGGUGAUCAGGAAGCCGGAGACGAGGCUCAAAAGAAACUAAGGUGUUGGGUAAACGCGAAGAGCGGCGAAUGAAGCUCUUGUUUCCGGUUCAAGUUUGAUAUAUGAGGGCCAAACAAUGGAAAUGGAUAGGGAAAUCAUGAGGACGAAGAUGGAGACGAACUUGAGGGUUUAACGAACUCAGUCCCACAUUAGAUUUGUGAAUCUAGCAGCAGGGCAAAACAAUUGGUUCAAUGAUGAGGUUAUUUGGAGAACAAGCACAUGGUUUGAAGAAUGGAGGUGGAAGAAAUGAAGAGAAAUAGGUUUAGGAUAGGUGGUUAAAUGUAUAUCUUUGUAUAGAUUUUCUUGUAUUUCUUUGUAAUAGAAUUGUAUUUUUGUAAUGGAUUUGUAAUGGAUAUUUGAAAUGUUAUGGAAUGCAUUUUG
Molecule: long non-coding RNA, 804 nt
Organism: Vicia villosa (hairy vetch)
Lineage: Eukaryota; Viridiplantae; Streptophyta; Magnoliopsida; Fabales; Fabaceae
Exons: 3
Source: RefSeq, a predicted model, not a curated record